AUUGAACGCUGGCGGCAGGCCUAACACAUGCAAGUCGAGCGGACGAAGGGAGCUUGCUCCUGGAUUCAGCGGCGGACGGGUGAGUAACGCCUAGGAAUCUGCCUGGUAGUGCGGGAUAACGUCCGGAAACGGGCGCUAAUACCGCAUACGACCGGAGGGAGAAAGUGGGGGACCUUCGGACCUCACGCUAUCAGAUGAGCCUAGGUCGGAUUAGCUAGUCGGUGGGGUAAAGGCCUACCAAGGGGACGAUCCGUAACUGGUCUGAGAGGAUGGGCAGAGACACUGGGACUGAGGCACGGUCCACACUCCUACGGGGGGCCGCAGUGGGGAAUAUUGGGCGAUGGGCGAGAGCCUGAUCCCGCCAUGCCGCGUGUGUGAAGAAGGUCUUCGGAUUGUAAAGCACUUUAAGUUGGGAGGAUGGGCAGUAUGUUAAUACCUUGCUGUAUUGACGUUACCAACAGAAUAAGCACCGGCUAACUUCGUG
This 484-nucleotide ribosomal RNA is filed under the name uncultured bacterium. RNAcentral describes it as "partial 16S ribosomal RNA". It matches the Rfam family "Bacterial small subunit ribosomal RNA", at positions 30 to 507 of the family's 1533-position model. The record is from RNAcentral.